This is a long non-coding RNA of Leptopilina heterotoma, 387 nucleotides long. RefSeq lists it as uncharacterized. The record is from RefSeq and is a predicted model, not a curated record. Lineage: Eukaryota; Metazoa; Arthropoda; Insecta; Hymenoptera; Figitidae. The transcript is spliced from 2 exons.
AAAGAAGGAAAUUAAGAAAAUGGUAAAUUCUUUUUGAUUUCAAGUGCUUUUCGUCUGCUCAUAAGCAAUACUAAACGAAAAUGACUCGUUUGUCGUUUAUAUUUUUGGCAACAAUCUUAAUGCUCGUGGCUCCAGUCAUAAACGGACAAUGCUUGCGUCCUGGUACUCGAUGUCAACCUGAUGGAAGUUUAGGCAAUUGUUGUCGAGGAAUUUGUUGGAAAGAGGUGGGAUGGACUAUUGGACAUUGUCAAUGGUUUCAAUCACGUUAAAUAAUUUUAUAAAAUAAAAAUAAAAUUUUAUAAAAUACUCACGAAAAAAAGUGUUCAUGUUUUGACAAAACCAAUAUUUUCUACUCUGAAUAAAAUAAUUUUACUUUUACUCUUGUAA